Molecule: ribosomal RNA, 899 nt
Filed under: uncultured archaeon
Lineage: Archaea
Description: bacterial SSU rRNA
Rfam family: Archaeal small subunit ribosomal RNA
Source: RNAcentral
CUCCAGGUGAUCCUGCCGGACCCGACUGCUAUCGGAUUGAGAUUUAGCCAUGCGAGUCGAACGUCCCCCUGUUGCGGGGGGCGUGGCGUACGGCUCAGUAACACGUAGUCAACCUGCCCUGGAGACAAGGACAACCCCGGGAAACUGGGAUUAAUCCUUGAUAGGUCAUCUCAUCUGGAAGGAGAGAUGGCUUAAAGGGGUACGCGGGCUUCUUCCGCGAAUUCGCUCCAGGAUGGGACUGCGUCCGAUCAGGCUGUUGGCGGGGUAAUGGCCCACCAAACCUGUAACCGGUACGGGCCUUGAGAGAGGUGGCCCGGAGAUGGACACUGAGAGAAGGGUCCAGGUCCUACGGGGCGCAGCAGGCGCGAAACCUUCGCAAUGCGCGAAAGCGUGACGAGGUUAAUCCGAGUGAUUUCCGCUGAGGAGAUCUUUUGUCAGCUGUAAAUAGGCAGGCGAAUAAGGGGAGGGCAAGCCUGGUGUCAGCCGCCGCGGUAAUACCAGCUCCUCGAGUGGUCGGGGCGAUUAUUGGGCCUAAAGCAUCCGUAGCCGGUUCCGUAGGUCCUCUGUUAAAUCCAACCGCUUAACGGUUGACCUGCAGAGGAUACCGCGGGACUAGGAGGCGGGAGAGGCGGACGGUAUUCCGCGUGUAGGGGUAAAAUCCUUUGAUCCGCGGAGGACCACCAGUGGCGAAGGCGGUCCGCCAGAACGCGCUCGACGGUGAGGGAUGAAAGCUGGGGGAGCGAACCGGAUUAGAUACCCGGGUAGUCCCAGCCGUAAACGAUGCUAGCUAGAUGAUUCAUUCGCAAGUCGCGAAUGAAGUGUCGCAGGGAAGCCGUUAAGCUAGCCGCCUGGGGAGUACGGUCGCAAGACUGAAACUUAAAGGAAUUGCCGGGGGAGCA